UGUGUGCGUGUAUAAACUUUCUAUAAGGGGCAUCUAUGUUUUAACUUAAAACUAUAUUCUCUACUACCAAAGAUUAUCUGUGCCAUGCAGCAUAUCCUAUUCCAAUUCACAUUAACUUUAGGCCUUUCUUCAAUGUCCAACUCAAGCCCCACCUUGUAUGGGAAGCCUUUCUUCAGCAUUCCAGCUACUAGUGGUAUGAUGACUUUCAGAGUACUGUUUUUGUAUUCUUUUCAUUUGUGUCAGGCUGGGCCAGGGAGAAGAAUUGAAAGGGGUCAGACAGAGUGGCCUGAAGGAGCCUUUACUGUUCAAGAACCAGUAAUAGGUUGACAGACUGUGGCUUCAUUGCAUUGUAUCGGCUUCAGCACUCAAACAGAUUCAAUGAGGUCUUUGAAACUGAUGACUUCUGAGAGUGAUUCUUGUCGUAUUUGGGUUGUAGACUUCUUCAGAAGUUUUUGAUAACUGAACUUUCUCCUCCAGAAAGAAAACACAUGAAGCAUAAAAGUAGGCACAUAGUUUAAGGUUGUUUAAAAGAUCCCAAGAAACCCAUCAGUUGAAGUCUAUUUUCCAGGUGUUAGGGACCACAUGUUAAAAGCAACAACAAAAAUACCCAACCCUGCCAAAUAACUGGCAUUCAUUAAGAGCUUACUAUGUUCUGGGCCUGGUAUGCAAUAAGUCACAUGCAUUAUCGCUUUGUAUCCUUUAAGUUUUUUCACAAUCCCCUGUGGUGCCUUCUAUUGAUAUAUCUAUUUUAUAGAGAGGAGAAAGCAAGAUACAGAGAGGAAGUUCAGUAAUUUUGCUGAAGGCCAACUGCUGGGAGGUUACAGAGGCUGAUUUUGUUCUCGGGCAGUCUGAAUCACUCCCUUAGCCAUACUCUCACUGCCUUUCUUCACUGUAUUCCUUGUCUCUAAUCAUGAUGAGAGGUGACUAGCACAUUCAUUUCGUGAGGGAGUAUGCUACCAGAAACCUGGGUGAUUGACAAGAGCACCAGAUAUUAAUGUUACAAAUUCUUCCUUCAGUAAUGGAAACCAUCCAUUCUGAAAUACACAGAGAAUAAAGAUAGAUUUGAAAAAGCCCAUGUGGUAAAAUUUCUUACCUGGAAAGUCCCAUAGACAGAGGAGCCUGGUGGGUGACAGUCCAUGGGGUUGCCAAGAUCUGGACACAACUGAAGCAACUGAGCAAGCACGAGCAUGCAGGUGGUAGUGAACAGCCUCCCUACUACUUCUUACCCAGAGAUUUGCUUAAUGUCUGAUUUCUAAGAUGAAGUUAAAAAAAAAGAAUAAAAUUUGCCUUCAUUUUCAUUGUAACAUAUUCUAAUUUUAAGAGAUCACAGGUUAAUUAAAUUCAUUUAAAAACAACUUUUGGGUACUACCUUAAUUAACCUUCUAGGUUUCCUCGUUAUUCCACUCCUAUUCAGUGCUGUCAGUUUCCCAGGGUGAGGGUUAGAACUCCUCACCUUGUCAGGUAGAAAGGGAGGGUGGGAAAUAGCAUUUGUUCCUCCGUUUGAUUAGUAAAGCUCAUUAACUGUCAGAUAUAAAGCACAGACAGUCCAUCCAAAGAGAACAGCAAUACCAGUGACAUUUAUUUCAUGGCUAGUGUUCAGAGGCUCCUUAGAAACCAAUUUUCAUUCUUACAGCUCAUGUCCCCAGAAUGGGACUUCUCUAGGAUUCAUAAGCAAGCCUGAUCAAAAUGCAAAGUGAGAAAGAACAGAUAAAAGGUCUUAGAUAACUAAAGCACAAAACCAGCCCCAAAGACUCAUGCCAGAGAUAAAGCAGCAAGAGUUUUAACUGCUUCCCUUUAUACCUGGGUAUUAUUUAUACAGCUUCAGUAGUGUUGCUGUUUUGUGGUUUUCCUGUGACUUCACAAAGUCAGUGGGCAUCAGAGCUAUUGAUGUCCCAAAACAGUGGAAACUGACACUGGUUUUCUGAAUUGAUCACUAUAUUCAAAUAGUGAAUCUAUUUUCCCUACUUAUCCUAAAAUGCUUCCCGACUGCAAACUUGAAUGAGGACUUGGCCUCAUGUUUCACAUGCAAGAGUUCUGUGCGGUGAACCAAGCAAUCCUCUGAAAGCAUUUAUGCUCUCUAGCAGUGUGGUGAGCAUUUUAUUCUUUUAAACAAAUAUCAGGAAAGGGUCCUUCUCCAAAUUGAUCUAUAGUUUACCCAGAGAAAUAGAUAUUGAAUAAAGUCAAUAUCCAUUUUUUAUUUCUAUAGAGAUGGUAUCCUUUAAAACCAGAUCUCUAGUCCUUAUUUGCCAUCAAACCAACUGUAUUAUUUUCCUUACCUACAGUGUGACUAUAUUGCAUGGCAUUUAUAGUCUGGCUAGAAAAUCAUGUAGCUUUCUGAUUAUGUGUAGUUUUGUAUUAACCUUCAUUACAUUAUUUUACAAACCCCUGAACUAGCUUAUGAUUUUCCCCAUUUAUAGAGGAGUAAACUGAGACACAGAAAUGUGAAGUAACUCUCCUAAAGGUGCCCAUUUAAUAAAUGCAGAAGGCAAGCAAUGAACAGAUUCUGCUGGCUUAGCCAGAAGACUUUCUAAAGUCUUUUCUAGCUCUAACAGUCCAUGAUUCAAAGCUACAUUAAUUGCAAUUUUUCUUUAAUUUACUUUAACCACUGGCUAGCCUGGUGGGGGGCUUAAUAAAACAUAACACUCACAACUUAUUUCUCAAUCUCCUCCAACCGCUUCUAUUCACAAAAGAACAUGACCACGGAACAAAGCUAGAGGACCCAAUGAACUCCCAGUGUCCACUUGGUUACUCCUCAUGUCUCAGAAGAGUAGAGGACUGAACCAGAAAGUGGGAUAAUUGCUCUAUUACUUAAAAACAAUUUCAAGGAAGUAUCUCUAACUUGAAGGAAAGAUGAGUCAAUAAGUGAAAUUUCCUGAAAAAGAUACCUCGGAAUAGAGUUCUUUGAAUUUUGAAAAGGAAUUAGAAUUACCUGUGGAGUUACUAGAAAUGCAUAUUGAUGGGCACCACUACAGAGAUUCUGAUCCAAUAUAUGAGGCUCAUGUGUCUGAAUUUUUAUCAAGUUCUCUAGAUCUGAUGUAAUUAAUGUUAAAAAGGAACUGUCCUAGAGACUCCCUGGAGUCCAUUUGAGCUGCUAUGACAAAAUACCAUAAACCCGUUAACUGAUAAGCAACAGAAAUUUAUUCAUCACAGUCCUUGACACUGGGAGUCUGUAGAUCAGGAUGCCAGUGUGGUUGGGUGAGGGCUCUCAUCUGUUUUCACACUUUUCCUUUGUAUCCUCACAGAACCAAAAAGGCUAAGAAUCUCUCUUGUGUGUGUGCUCAAUUGCAUCCAAUUCUUUGCAACUCCAUGGACUAUAGCCCACCAGACUCCUCUGUUCAUGGAAUUUUCCAGGCAAGAAUACUGGAGCAGGUUGCCAUUUCCUAGUCCAGGGGAUCUUCCCAACCCAGGGAUCGAAUGUGCAUCUCUUGUGUCUCCUGCAUUGGUAGGCAGAUUCUUUAUUACUAAUGCUACCCUUUAGGUUCUCUUUUAUAAGACACUAAUCCCACUCAUAAGGAUCCAGUCUCCAGUCUCAUAGCUUAAGCUCCUCCCAAAGACUCUAAUUCCUACUACAAUCACCACUAGGGGCUUGGGAUUUCAACAUCUGCAUUUUGUGGUGCCAUAAACACUGAGACCAUAGCAGGCAGUGCACCCAGUUGUUCUUAAAAUAGUUCCACGUUUAUUUGAGGUCUUCCCAUAGAUGUUUACAUUCUUAAAUCAAACUUCAAGGUUGAUAUAUUCAUCUUCUUUUUUGACAUCUCUACCUGGCUAUCUCUUAAGUCAUCUCAUAUUUAGCCUCACAAAAUUCUUGAUUUUAUUCUCCCCUGAAUAUUUUUCUCCACAUCUUCCUCAACCCAAUAAAUAGAAUUACUAACAAUGUGGUGAUUAAAAUAAAAAUCAGUAACUCAUCCUUGCCUCCUCCUGUCCUGCCCAUACUUUGACCUUCUUACCCUCCAUCUCUUCCUCCAACUCCUAAUCUACUUCUAAUAUAGAUCUUUCAUUUGUUUACUUUUCUCUAUUGCCACUAUCAUCAUCUUAGUCUAAGCCACCCUAUAUGUCACCUGGACUUCUGAAGUAGGGUUCUCAGUGGUCUUUCUGAUUCCAGUCUAUCCCCUCCAAUUGGCCUUCUAUAUAGCAGCUAGUGAUUUUUCAAAUGCUAAUCAUACCACAACACUUAUGGUCCAUACAAGUGUUCCACUUGAAUCACUCUAAUGGUCUCUCAUUGCAAAUAGAAUUCACACUCCUUAGUAUGGCCUGCCAAGCCACGAAGGGUCAGUCCCCACCCAGCUCCAGAUAUACCAGCUUUCCAACAGAAGGCAGGCUUUGCUCUUCCCUCUGCAUAGGUUGCUCUGCUCAUGAUGCCAUCUGUAAGGUUUUCCCUCUAAAUCAGUCCUUCUGAUCCUUUAGAUUUCAGUUGAAUUGUCACCAACUCAGAGAGGUGGUCCCUGACUUCUAUGGACCCUUUCUACCUUGUGAUCUCUUCCACAAGCUACUGUAUUUUCCUCAUAGCAUUUAUCACUAUCUAAAAUUAUUUGUUUAUUGCAGAUAGAAUGUAACCUCCAUGGAGUCAGAAACCUCACAUGUCUUGCUUUCUUUUGUGCCUCAGUGCCUAGCACCCUACCUGGCACUUAGAAAAGACCUGAUAAAUAUUUGUCUCAUUUAAGUCCAGAGUUAACAAGUUGUUUGGAUAUUUCCUUCUUUAAAAAAUAUGUAAAACUGAGAUUAUGUGGAGAAAGGUAUAAUUAAUGUAGAAGGUAGAAUUCUAGAAAAACAAAAGAGUAGGUUUUGUGAAGUAUAUCUCCUUUGUCCCUUAAAAUCCCACACAAUAGAAUCUUUCAAACUAGGAUAAUCCAUCCACAUUAGUCCCAUCCAAGCUGAUUAUGUCUAAUCCACAUGAAUUUCUUAACUUCUGGCUCUCUUUUCUUAAGGCAGAAGGCAACUGAUCUGAUUCAUAACCCAGCCCACCGUGCUCAUGGUGGCCUCCUCAGCAUGGAUAUAGAGGGUUCACUGAACAUAAUGAAAGCCCACAGAGCAUCCUGUUGUGGAAAUGUGAUUGCACUUCGAAUGAUCAGAUGAAUGAAACAUGGAUGGAUUCCUCCAAAGGCUGCAUGGAGUGCAAGAGCAUUUUCCAGUAGGUGCAUCUAGAACUCUGCAAGACAUCUAUCAAGACCUAGGGCUCUGCUUACAGAGGGAUCCAUACCAGUUCCUGUAACCUCUCAUGGAGCAACAUGAAGAUUUUUUGCCGCCCUCCCUAACUGAAAGAGACUGAACGCAUCUAAUAAAGUGUUGACAUUUCUGCAGAUUACAUGGUAUGAAGGGCAAAUCAGAUUCCUUUUAUCAAAAACAAUAUAACAUCCUCAUUAUAUUCUUUGACUUUGUUGGAUUCCUAUCUGUAUUGUAUAGAUCAACAUGAUGGGUAAAUUGAGAUCUUCACUUACACGAAGCAAAUAUCUUCCCCUCUUUUUUCCCCUAAAUUUAGGAUGACUUUGAAUCCUUUGCAUUGGCCCAUUGCACACAUUAAAAUUUCCCUCAGUCCCUGCUUCUUUGCAGGAGCCCUUGAACAAUGGCCUUACUUCUUCAUCCAACUUGCUUUUGAAGAUGUGAUUUGAGUUUUCUGACUGAACGCCUUUGGUCCUGUUCUUUUUAGGUUAAAAUGAAAAUAGCUAAUUAGCAGCUCUCUUCUUCAGGAUCUUAGGGUUUUCCACACAGGUUAUAGAUAGGAUUCAGAAUUAUUAUUAUUUUUUAGGUAAUUAUCCAAGUUGAUUAGAGAAGACUUAAAAAAUUUUAAAAAUAUCUCCUUAUUUAUUACCAGUGAGUGUUCAGAUGCCAUCUGGACUGUUGGGAGAGAGAUGAAAGUGAUUCGGUGCUAUGAUUAGGUCCCAUGAUUGGCCACCAGCACUGAUAAUCACAUCAUUAAUAACACAUGGACAGAGGAAAUUACCUGCAGCAAGAGGAGAGACUGCACGGCGAGAAUGUUUUUCACCCUGACCUUUAGAACACAACUUCUCAAGCAGAGAGUGAGGAAAGGUGGAGGCACAGAGAAGACCUCAGUAACAUGCCACAGGGUGUUAAAGGAUCCCUAGCUCCCAGGGUGGUUCCUCAGGGGCCCAACAAAUACAUCACACCUGACCAUCAGGCAGAGAAUAGAAAGAGCUACCAUCUGCUCUGAGUUCACUAGAUCUGAGGGUUUGUGUAAUGUACAGCAUCAAUUUGUUCUUUAAUCUCUCAACAACCGUAUCAGGGAUUGCCACUGCCUCCAUUUCAUAUAUGACAAUCUGAAUCCAAUAGACAUUAAGCAACUUAAUGAAGUUCACACAGGUGGUAAAUGGCAGACUAGAAGUGUGAAUCCAUAUCUACUUUAUGUCAAACCCUGUUCUUAUCUAUUAGAUAUGAACUGUAAGAUGCUUUUGGUAGAUGCAACCAUAAGAAGAGCAGAUAAUACGUUUCAUGAUGUUUUGGUCCAAGUAUAUGCCCUUCACUGGGGACACUACAAGCUUUCUGAAGGAGCCCCAGAUGAGAAAGGACAUAAUAAUGCAUCUAAAAAGCCUGGUAUUUCUAGUACAACUUCCCGUAUAAAUGUCAUCAGUAUAUCUCCCAGAGAUAGUAUGAGUUGCCCAAAUAACACAUCUAUAAGAAUGCUAAAUUCAAACCACUAAAUGGAUGUGAAGUCAGAGGAAUGCAGUCAGGGGACUGUCAGUAGGUGAAUGAAAUGGAGAUUCAGAAAUGUCUAUGUAGGCAAAUGUGAUGGUCAGAAAAUUCUGUCACAUGGAUGAUGAUUCAUUUCCCAAGAGGAGUUUGAUGUGAGAAUCCAUUCAGCUCCUCUUCUUGACUGAGAUCUUUCCAGGCUGAAGGAUCCUCUUAUUGUGUCUGAUGCCUGAUGCCCAACUUAUAAUCACGAAGACCAAGAUAAGCAACGGGUCUCCUUACUACUAGUCUAGUGCUCUGUCCACAUCUCUGGGAACAAAAUCCCCAUUUCAGUCAUUAUCAUGAUUUCACAGAAAAAUCUAGAAUUAGCUUAGUUAGUAAGACAGAGUUAAAUUCUUCUUCUUAGAAUACAACUAGGACACAAUUUUUCUUUUGAAAUAUAACUGGCAAAGUAGUUUCCUGACUUCACAAGAGUCAAAAAGGAUUGAAGAAUCAUUACCCAACUUUGAUCCUCCCACAACUCUUCUCAGAAGAAAACUCAAGAAAAUCCCCCUUCCCUCCUCAUUUCCUAUUAGGCAGGCAGACGUUAUUAGCUGAAAUAGGUAACUCCUUCAUAACUGCACCCUGCCAUUUCUCCUGCCACAUUUCUAUAGCCAACUCUACAUUCAGAUCUAUUUUGGCAGAUGUGAGUUCUGUAUUUCUCUUGCCCCUGGCUACCUUUGAAUUACCACAGCUCCGUAGCACUGCAGGUCUAUCACCUCAAGGUUUGACAAAUAAUACUGUAUAACUACUGCUGAUAUCAACUUUAAAUGGAAAUUAGAUUCUUUCCCUAUUUUUUAUGUUCCACUUUAAUUUGGGCAAACUACAGUUCUAGACAUCAUGUUCACUGCAAUCAUCUAUCUUUUAGGGAGCAAUAGUGGUCCUGCUUGCUUAAGUACCUUGCAUUUUUCAUGUCAGUCUUUCUUUCUUUUUUUUAGUAGCAUACCUGUGCCACGGGGAAGGGCAUAAUGUGCUCUCAUGAAUCUGACCGCUCAUUCAAGCAAUAGGAAAUGGGAGAGUCAUUUACCCUACUGAUAAAAUGUGCUGCAGUGGUCUAGGGGACUUUAUCUCCUGGAUUCUAUUACCAGAGUAAUAUGCAUCUUCAGGAGAAAUGCCCUGGAGCCUGGAUAGAUCUCUGGAAGACUGAACUUUAAACCUUAUAGUAUCUUUAAAAAUGUAAGGGGGUGGCAGUAUCUAUGGGAACACCAAAAAAGUAACUAGAAAACCACCAGUAAACUCUUUGAAAUAAAGCACUCAAAUAAGCUGUUUGAAUAAACCAAAUUCUCAAGCUCAUCAGAAUAGUAGAUGUAACAGGUUUAUCUUUACUUGACAAAACACUUUGUUCCCUUAUUGAGGGAACAGAGGUCAUUUGGGUCAACCUACUUCUUGCAGAACUUAUAGACAAAAAGAAUUCUGAUGAGUUUAGUGGUCAUUCUCAGAUUGUCUCUACCAGCUAUAUCUUGCCCUUCUUUUCUCUGCCGUUUGUCCCAGGAAGGCUGGCCUAUUUGCAUUGUAUGACCCAGGCUCUUGCCCUCUGAGCUCUGGUUUAUUUGGACCGAUGGGGGACACUAAUAGGAGAUUGGAGAGUCAGAGGAGAGAGAGGGUGGAGCAUUUAUUCCUUGCUUGUCUGCCUUCUGCUUUGUUGCAAUGCUGGCAGUGACUACGCUUCCCUGCAGCCUUGCAUCUACCAGCCAGCCACUUCUCUCCAUGGCACCAACUCUUCUGGGUCUAGUAACCCCUUCUCCCCUACUUCUCCUUCAAACCUAGAGGUGAUAAUGGAUUCCCAAUAUUGGCAUUCUCCGGCUAUCUUAUAUCUCUAAUUGCUUACUUCAGUCCUGUCUAUACUUGCAUAAUUGUCCAAUCAUGAAAUUAUUUUUAAUUAAAACUUUUUGCAUCUAUUUCCUGAAAUGAUUCAGCUUGAGUUUUCUUGAGAAAAACCUUCUCUUUCUCAACAAGUUGGCUCUUAUCUUGGCGUGAUUACUUAAAAAGCUAAAAAUGCUUUUUGCUAAUGGUAUCUUAAAUAUAUUUUGAGCAAAUAAAAGCACACACAAAUUAUAUAAUAGUCAUGAGGUGAAUAAUCACAAAUGAUUCCAUUUAUACUCACCCUUUAUCUACCUAAACUCUUUAAAUAUUUGAGUUUUCUAACCUGCUACUUUGCUUCUCUGGCUUUGAAAAGUUUCAGGAAAGAUUCAGGUGAGGCAUUUAAAAAGUUGAAUUUCCCUUUAGGAAGCUUGUGCUAUAGGUCAGUUGGUUAUUCAAAGGAGCUCUUCCCUUGGUGCCUGGCAAACAUGAUGCAACUAUCCUCUGCCAGCCUCCCUUCUCAGAAACUCUUUCUAAGUCCUAGGCAAUUAGACAACUAGAGGCUGAUUCUGGACUUCCCAGGUGGUUCAAUGGUAAAGAAUCUGCCUGCCAAUGCAGGAGACUGGGAUUAGAUCCCUGGGUCAGGAAUAUCCCCUGGAGAAGGGAAUGGCAAACCAUUCCAGUGUUCUUGCCUGGAGAAUCCUAUUGACAACGGAGCAUGCUGGGCUACAAUCCAUAGGGUUGCAAAAGAGGCAGACGCAACUGAGCACAGCACACUGUUUCUAAAGCUCACUCACUCUUCAGGUUUAAAAAUAAAAUAAAAUUAAAAAAAAAAAAACAACCUAAGAUUAAAAAAAAAAAAGAGCAGACUCUAUACAUUAAAAUACACUCCUUUAAAAUUUUUUUCCUGGGUUAGUGACAAGUUUUCAACCCAUUAAAACAGAGUAGGGUCGGGGCAGAGGGGAGACCUUAAACUGUAAUGAGUGUGCCUUUAGAAAACUGACUCAGAAGAAGCAGAAUUACUUUGCUGACAAAGGUCCAUAUAGUCAAAGCUAUGGUUUUUCCAGAAGUCACAUAUGGAUGUGAGAGUUGGAGUAUAAAGUAAGCUGAGUGCCGAAGAACUGAUGCUUUUGAACUG
Long non-coding RNA from Bubalus bubalis (water buffalo), 9619 nucleotides. RefSeq lists it as uncharacterized. NCBI's taxonomy places the organism in Eukaryota, Metazoa, Chordata, Mammalia, Artiodactyla, Bovidae. The transcript is spliced from 3 exons. The record is from RefSeq and is a predicted model, not a curated record.